UCAUGAUCUUCUCAUACUGGACAAGUUUUAUCUUGGGUUUGCAUGUCUAAUCUGCAAACCCCUAAUACGAGGAGGGGUUGUCAUGAGUGCGCCCAGCUCGUAAAAGAUAAUAACAACAAACAAAACCUCCUUCACACUUUGUUGAUGAGAAAUCAAAAAACUUUGGUAGUGAUAAACAAAGGAGACUAAGGGGAUGUGAUCGUCCCCACUUUGGGAACCGUUCCUCAAAACUUGUCCAGCAUGAGAAGUAUUGGGCUAUCUACUAGCAUUCGUUGACAAAUUAUGCACCUCUC
Molecule: long non-coding RNA, 293 nt
Filed under: Hordeum vulgare
Lineage: Eukaryota; Viridiplantae; Streptophyta; Magnoliopsida; Poales; Poaceae
Description: long non-coding RNA (HVUL_LNC018910)
Source: RNAcentral